Molecule: transfer RNA, 76 nt
Filed under: Desulfitobacterium sp.
Lineage: Bacteria; Bacillati; Bacillota; Clostridia; Eubacteriales; Desulfitobacteriaceae
Also listed under: 3 other names
Description: tRNA-Asp
Rfam family: tRNA
About the family: Transfer RNA (tRNA) molecules are approximately 80 nucleotides in length. Their secondary structure includes four short double-helical elements and three loops (D, anti-codon, and T loops).
Source: RNAcentral
GGCCCCGUGGUGUAGCGGUUAACAUGCCUGCCUGUCACGCAGGAGAUCGUCGGUUCAAUUCCGAUCGGGGUCGCCA